Molecule: long non-coding RNA, 1695 nt
Organism: Myotis daubentonii (Daubenton's bat)
Lineage: Eukaryota; Metazoa; Chordata; Mammalia; Chiroptera; Vespertilionidae
Source: RefSeq, a predicted model, not a curated record
CCUCGGCCCCGCCCUCCAGCGCUCCUAUUGGUCCGGAGGGUAAACGCCUUUCACUUCUACAUUCUGAUUGGUUGAUGGUUUUUUGUCCCUCCCCUCGGGCGGGAAGAAGUUCGGGAUUCGGCGCGUGAUGGGGGCGCGUCCGAGUCCCGCGGCGUUUGAGCGCGAGCGAUGAACCGUUGCUUCGUUGCCAGGCCGACAGGACGCGGAGGGAGGAAGCUCAAGCCUCUCUACGGCGGUCUUAGCGCCCCGUCCACCGCACGGAAUCAGUUUUCCCCCCUCCCGGCCGUGCGUGGUCGGCGGCAGCAGGGGUUCGAUUUUGCAAUGAAUGUAAUUAUUUUGACGGCCAGAAAUGCAUCCAAGAAAUGAAAAAUUGCUGGAAGCUUAAUAUAAUGUUUCAAAACAGGAGUUGUCGCACAGAUCACUUUUACUUCUAUGAUCGCCUUACAGGGAGAUACCUGUAUCGUUAUACAUCACUAUCAUGUGAAACUUGUGAAGAGGGAAUGUUCCAGGUAUUCCAUGAUCUCCUGAGAGAAACAUACUGCUGUAUAGAUAAUGACAGGUGCAAUGACCCUAAUGAUAUACCAGACAUUACAAGGGAAUAUGUGUCUUAUGACACAGACAGAAUUGUUAAAAAAUAAAAUAAUUAAGUUUUAAACCACAUCUCUGAGUAAACUUUGCCCUUCCCCUAUCCGAUGGCAACAUUAUCUUACAUUUUCUCAAACCCCAGACCCCCACUCUUUCCUCUUAAGCCAGUAGAUCUACCUAUGGAACCACUAUCUUUCCUGUGUCAGUGCUUCCAGUAACAGGAACCCCAUCUCUACUUUCUGGUUGGAUUCUACUGUCUUCACCACCUGAUCGCUCCUGGCAAUCUUUACUUGCCCUUCAGUUCUAAAGCAGGGGUCCCCAAACUACGGCCCACGGGCCACAUGCAAAUACAAAUAUUGUAUUUGUUCUCGUUUUGUUUUUUUACUUCAAAAUAAGAUGUGUGCAGUGUGCAUAGGAAUUUGUUCAUAGUAUUUUUUUUAAACUAUAGUCCGGCCCUCCAGCGGUCUGAGGGACAGUGAACUGGCCCCCUGUUUUAAAAAUUUGAGGACCCCUGUUCUAAAGUCAGAGUUCUAACAUUUCUGGCAAAGGAAACAAACUAUUUUUCUGGUAGAGCUCCUGAAGGAAGAUCGGGGAAAAGCGACUGGAUAGAAAUUGGGACAAGAAAUCACAGGAGGUUUUAGAAAUAUCUGGGAGGACAGUAAAAGAGGUAUUUGGUGAGGACUGGGAAGGGUUUCUAUUAAGCAGGGGCUUGAAAAAGUCAAUGUGAAAUUAGAAAAUUCUGUCUUCUGUGAAAGCAAUAGUCAAGUGUACCAAAUAUGAGAGGCUUCGUGUCUGCCACUAUUUGGGGAAACUAUGCCAAUCACACCUACUUGUGUUCACAUACACUUUGAUUGCCAUGUUUCUGGUCAUCUUAUCUUGCUCUCAUGGCCAAAGCCAAGUAUAUCAGGAUGGGCACUUGGCAGAGGAUCGGCCAAUUACUCUGCCUCUGGGCUUGUGGGGCAUACUCUAGCACUUGUAAAAAUCAAUUUAAAAAUCUUUAACAAAAUAUCAGCCAAUAGCAGAUUAAAGGAUGAUAUAUAAUUGAUCAAUAAUCUUUGUGGAGUAAAAAAUCAUUGCAAAACUCAGUGGCUUAAAAUAAUAAGCAAUGAG